This 72-nucleotide transfer RNA is filed under the name Spirosoma oryzae. RNAcentral describes it as "tRNA-Arg". It matches the Rfam family "tRNA". Rfam says of the family: Transfer RNA (tRNA) molecules are approximately 80 nucleotides in length. Their secondary structure includes four short double-helical elements and three loops (D, anti-codon, and T loops). Further hydrogen bonds mediate the characteristic L-shaped molecular structure. tRNAs have two regions of fundamental functional importance: the anti-codon, which is responsible for specific mRNA codon recognition, and the 3' end, to which the tRNAs corresponding amino acid is attached (by aminoacyl-tRNA synthetases). tRNAs cope with the degeneracy of the genetic code in two manners: having more than one tRNA (with a specific anti-codon) for a particular amino acid; and 'wobble' base-pairing, i.e. permitting non-standard base-pairing at the 3rd anti-codon position. RNAcentral also lists the same sequence under 2 other names. The record is from RNAcentral. Lineage: Bacteria; Pseudomonadati; Bacteroidota; Cytophagia; Cytophagales; Cytophagaceae.
GGUUGCGUAGUUCAACGGAUAGAAUAGACGUUUCCUAAACGUUUGAUAUGGGUUCGAUUCCCGUCGCGACCA